GAUGAGCACAUUAUGUAAUCUUCAAUUUGUGUUUCAAAAAACAUGAGUUUCUAUUUUUAAGCUGAUUUUUGAAGGCCAAAUUGAAGAUUACAUAAUGUGCUCAUCCAUCUAUCUGAUUACUAGAAAAGCUUGACUGAGGUGAAGUAAAGACUAUCAUUGAAGACUUCAAAUAAUAAAAGUGUCCUGUGCUUUUAAUCCCUCUUUUUUUACACGCAUUACUAGCAAAAGCAUGAAUAGGCCAAGUGGUUCUUCUUUGAAAUAUAGGGGGAGAAAUGAUUGGUGACAGACGAAGAGGAACCUGGAAUAUCGGCCGGAACAAGUACUUGCGUCUUACCGGAAGCUAUUCUCUUACCAGCUACAUUGGCAUAGAAUAGGCCAGAUAUGGCUGGUACAAAGACAUCACUUUGAGAACAUAUGUAGAAGUCAAUAACCUUUUCAAACUCUGAAUCUUCCGAUUCGAGGAACUUUGUUUUUUUUUCUUCAGGCAUGAUGCUUUCCUUUGUAUA
Molecule: unclassified non-coding RNA, 506 nt
Filed under: Hevea brasiliensis (rubber tree)
Lineage: Eukaryota; Viridiplantae; Streptophyta; Magnoliopsida; Malpighiales; Euphorbiaceae
Source: RNAcentral